This 249-nucleotide ribosomal RNA is filed under the name uncultured Actinomycetales bacterium. Its description in RNAcentral is "partial 16S ribosomal RNA". It matches the Rfam family "Bacterial small subunit ribosomal RNA", at positions 82 to 334 of the family's 1533-position model. Lineage: Bacteria; Bacillati; Actinomycetota; Actinomycetes; Actinomycetales. The record is from RNAcentral.
CGGAGGUACUCGAGUGGCGAACGGGUGAGUAACACGUGGGUGAUCUGCCCUGCACUCUGGGAUAAGCCUGGGAAACUGGGUCUAAUACCGGAUAGGACCGCACUUUAGUGUGUGUGGUGGAAAGUUUUUUCGGUGUAGGAUGAGCCCGCGGCCUAUCAGCUUGUUGGUGGGGUAAUGGCCUACCAAGGCGGCGACGGGUAGCCGGACUGAGAGGUCGGUCGGCCACAUUGGGACUGAGAUACGGCCCAG